CCUCUGGCGGCCAUGUUUUUUUCUCAAUCGACUUCAUUUUACUUGAGCAGUUGGAACUUUGGUCCCCAACAGCCACUAAGUUGGUCCCGCUCAAAUCAAACAUACUGGGCCCUAUUUCAAAGGUUGGGUAGGUGAUUCGCUUUUUUGGCCAUUUUUGCAAAAUUACUUGAAAUCCUUAUCAUAACCCGCUUACAGCCACUGAGUUAGAAGUACUGACAUGAAAAUUAAACAAGUCAAUCAUCUGUGGAACGGGCAGGGCUCGAAAAACUCCAGCCAAUCAUUUCCAUUGCCACCGAGUUGCAUUGGACAGUAAGUACGUCAAUCAAACGGUCGUACUCCCCCGCGCGCGACCCCUUCGUGCAGUACUCGUGACCCAGAGCUCGUGACCCAGAGCAAGCUCCUGUUCGUUGUUAUCCUGCGGUAGCUACUGGAACUAGUUAAAGGUUGUAUAGGUGAUUUGCUUUUUUGGCCAUUUUUGCAAAAUUACUUGAAAUCCUUAUCAUAACCCGCUUACAGCCGCUGAGUUAGAAGUACUGACAUGAAAAUUAAACAAGUCAAUCAUCUGUGGAACGGGGCAGGCUCGAAAAACUCCAGCCAAUCAUUUCCAUUGCCACCGAGUUGCAUUGGACAGUAAGUACGUCAAUCAAACGGUCGUACUGCACUCCAGGCGCGUCGUUAGCAAUUGAAAACAUCCGGGGCUUUAGCCCGGGGGGGAGCACCGUCCUGACUCCUGCUGCUACGGUAUCUUAAUUAAUUAAAUAAUUAAUUAAUUAAUUAAUGUAUCGAUUAAUUAAUUAAGGGCGCCCCCAACACAUAGGUCGCCUAUGCCGAGCGCCAGGGCAAAAAUAAGACAUUAGAAUAGCUAUAGAUAUAGCCUGCGUGCACCUACCCGAUGUCAAGAAGCCAUCGCUGCUCCGACGGACCUUUCUCCCCCAGCCAGGCAACGGCAAACAGCAUGGAGGCAGAACAGACCGCAGAAGUCAACGCGAUCGUCUUCAAUGUUGCUGCAACGAUGCAGCAUAUAUUCAGAAGAGCAGCCAGUACUUACGUGUAUGAAAGCAGCUAUAUAUAUGUAUAUAUAUACAUAUAUAUAUUUUUUUUUAUUAUUAUUUUUUUUUACGGCUGAGAUCCGGGGCUGAUCCCAAAAGAUCCGGGGCUAUAGCCCCGAAUGCCCAGGUCUAACGACGCGCCUGCUGCACUCCCCCUCCCCCGCGCCCCGCGCGCGACCCCUUCGUGCAGUACUCGUGACCCAGAGCUCGUGACCCAGAGCAAGCUCCUGUUUGUUGUUAUCCUGCGGUAGCUACUGGAACUAGUUAAUCCACAUUUGGACCU
Molecule: long non-coding RNA, 1332 nt
Filed under: Gadus morhua (Atlantic cod)
Lineage: Eukaryota; Metazoa; Chordata; Actinopteri; Gadiformes; Gadidae
Description: lncRNA (ENSGMOG00000027220.1)
Source: RNAcentral